GUAGGCGUUUCAUGGAGGGAAUGUUAAAAUACAAAAUUUUCGGACAGGGGUUCGAUUCCCCUCGCCUCCA
RNAcentral lists this transfer RNA (70 nucleotides) under Clostridium acetobutylicum ATCC 824. RNAcentral's name for it is "tRNA-Leu (CAA) (tRNA-Leu-CAA-2-1)". It matches the Rfam family "tRNA". Rfam says of the family: Transfer RNA (tRNA) molecules are approximately 80 nucleotides in length. Their secondary structure includes four short double-helical elements and three loops (D, anti-codon, and T loops). The record is from RNAcentral. RNAcentral also lists the same sequence under 2 other names. Lineage: Bacteria; Bacillati; Bacillota; Clostridia; Eubacteriales; Clostridiaceae.